RNAcentral lists this non-coding RNA (191 nucleotides) under Sphingomonas sp. AX6. Lineage: Bacteria; Pseudomonadati; Pseudomonadota; Alphaproteobacteria; Sphingomonadales; Sphingomonadaceae. The record is from RNAcentral.
CUAGGGGCGCGAUCAGAUGGUUCUCCCUUUACGGGGAGCGAAGAGGGAAGCCGGUGCGAUACCGGCGCUGUGCCCGCAACUGUAAGCCAGGAGCUUACGGCCACUUAGUCACUGGUGCCCAAACACCGGGAAGACGGCCGCAAAGCGACGAUCGGUGAGCCAGGAGACCUGCCAUCGCGUCGUUCACCCGU